Molecule: ribosomal RNA, 345 nt
Filed under: Nematoda environmental sample
Lineage: Eukaryota; Metazoa; Nematoda
Description: bacterial SSU rRNA
Rfam family: Eukaryotic small subunit ribosomal RNA
Source: RNAcentral
GGUGGAGUGAUUUGUCUGGUUUAUUCCGAUAACGAGCGAGACUCUAACCUACUAAAUAGUGACGGGAUAAUUUCGUCUUAGUUACUUCUUAGAGGGAUUAGUGGUGCUUAGCCACACUAGAUUGAGCGAUAACAGGUCUGUGAUGCCCUUAGAUGUCCGGGGCUGCACGCGUGCUACACUGGAAGAAUCAGCGUGUUUUUCCAUUGCCGAAAGGUAUUGGUAAACCGUUGAAACUCUUUCGUGUCCGGGAUAGGGAUCGGAAAUUGCAAUUAUUUUCCGUGAACGAGGAAUUCCAAGUAAGUGCGAGUCAUCAGCUCGCGUUGAAUACGUCCCUGCCCUUUGUAC